Molecule: transfer RNA, 71 nt
Filed under: Aneurinibacillus aneurinilyticus ATCC 12856
Lineage: Bacteria; Bacillati; Bacillota; Bacilli; Caryophanales; Paenibacillaceae
Description: tRNA-Cys
Source: RNAcentral
GGUGGCAUAGCCAAGUGGUAAGUCACCGGUCUGCAAAACCUGUAUCCUCGGUUCAAAUUCGAGGUAAACCU